RNAcentral lists this ribosomal RNA (253 nucleotides) under uncultured bacterium. Its description in RNAcentral is "partial 16S ribosomal RNA". It matches the Rfam family "Bacterial small subunit ribosomal RNA", at positions 524 to 776 of the family's 1533-position model. The record is from RNAcentral.
GACGUAGGGUGCAAGCGUUGUCCGGAUUUAUUGGGCGUAAAGAGCUCGUAGGCGGCUUGUUGCGUCGACUGUGAAAACCCGCGGCUUAACCGCGGGCUUGCAGUUGAUACGGGCAGGCUAGAGUUCGGUAGGGGAGACUGGAAUUCCUGGUGUAGCGGUGAAAUGCAUUGAGAUCGGAAAGAACACCAACGGCGAAAGCACUCUGCUGGGCCGACACUGACACUAAGAGACGAAACCUAGGGGAGCAAAUGGG